This 61-nucleotide transfer RNA is filed under the name Insulaphylus sp. ph34. RNAcentral describes it as "tRNA-His". Lineage: Eukaryota; Metazoa; Arthropoda; Insecta; Hemiptera; Miridae. The record is from RNAcentral.
UUUGAGUAGUUUAUUUAGAAUUAUAAUUUGUGGUGUUAUAGGUGAGAUUUUUCCUCAAAUC